Molecule: ribosomal RNA, 253 nt
Filed under: uncultured bacterium
Lineage: Bacteria
Description: partial 16S ribosomal RNA
Rfam family: Bacterial small subunit ribosomal RNA
Source: RNAcentral
GACAGAGGGUGCAAACGUUGCUCGGAAUUACUGGGCGUAAAGCGCGUGUAGGUGGAUUGGUGUGUCAGAUGUGAAAGCCCUGGGCUCAACCCAGGAACAGCACCUGAAACUACCAGUCUUGAGUGGUGGAGAGGGAAGUGGAAUUCCUGGUGUAGAGGUGAAAUUCGUAGAUAUCAGGAGGAACACCAGUGGCGAAGGCGGCUUCCUGGACACCAACUGACGCUGAGACGCGAAAGCGUGGGGAGCAAACGGG